This 530-nucleotide ribosomal RNA is filed under the name Arsenophonus endosymbiont of Bemisia tabaci. RNAcentral's name for it is "partial 23S ribosomal RNA". It matches the Rfam family "Bacterial large subunit ribosomal RNA", at positions 175 to 750 of the family's 2925-position model. The record is from RNAcentral. Lineage: Bacteria; Pseudomonadati; Pseudomonadota; Gammaproteobacteria; Enterobacterales; Morganellaceae.
CGAGGCGAACCGGGGGAACUGAAACCUCAGUACCCCGAGGAAAAAAAAUAAACCGAGAUUCCCCCAGUAGCAGCGAGCGAACUGGGAGCAGCCCAGAGUCAAUAUCAAUAUUUACCGCAGGAGAAGGGUCUGGAAAGGCCGGCAAUAAAGGGUGAUAGCCCCGUAUCUGAAACGGUAAGUGUUGUGAACUCGAAGAGUAGGGCGGGACAGGUGUUAUCCUGUCUGAAUAUGGGGGACCAUCCUCCAAGGCUAAAUACUCCUGACUGACCGAUAGUAAACCAGUACCGUGAGGAAAAAGCGAAAAAAAUCCCGGCGAAGGGAAUGAAAUAAAACCUGGAACCGUGUACGUACAAGCAGUGGGAGCACCCGAAAGGUGUGACUAGGUACCUUUUGUAUAAUGGGUCAGCGACUUAUAUUCUGUAGCAAGGUUAACCGGAUAGGGGAGCCGUAAGGAAACCAAGUCUUAACGGGGCGUUAAGUUGCAGGGUAUAGACACGAAACCCGGUGAUCUAGCCAUGGGCAGGUUGAAG